GAUGAACGCUAGCGGCAGGCCUAAUACAUGCAAGCCGAGGGCUGGUAGGUGUAGCGAUACAUAAAACAACCGGCGGACGGGUGCGUAACGCGUAUGCAACCUACCCUAUACAGGAGGAUAGCCCUCGGAAAGGAGGAAUAAUAAUCCAUAAGAUAGCUUAGAGGCAUCUUUAAGCAAUUAAAGCCGCAAGGCGGUAUAGGAUGGGCGUGCGUCCGAUUAGCUAGUUGGUGAGGUAACGGCCCACCAAGGCGAUGAUCGGUAGGGGUUCUGAGAGGAAGCUCCCCCACACGGGCACUGAGACACGGGCCCGACUCCUACGGGAGGCAGCAGUAAGGAAUAUUGGACAAUGGGUGUAAGCCUGAUCCAGCCAUGCCGCGUGCAGGAAGAAGGCCCUAUGGGUUGUAAACUGCUUUUGCGAGGGAGUAAUAAGGGCGACGCGUCGCUCGUUGCUAGUACUUCUCGAAUAAGCACCGGCUAACUUCGUG
This 485-nucleotide ribosomal RNA is filed under the name uncultured bacterium. RNAcentral describes it as "partial 16S ribosomal RNA". It matches the Rfam family "Bacterial small subunit ribosomal RNA", at positions 28 to 507 of the family's 1533-position model. The record is from RNAcentral.